GUGAGGAAUAUUGGUCAAUGGGCGGGAGCCUGAACCAGCCAAGUCGCGUGAAGGAAGAAGGAUCUAUGGUUCGUAAACUUCUUUUGCAGGGGAAUAAAGUGCGGGACGUGUCCUGUUUUGUAUGUACCCUGAGAAUAAGGAUCGGCUAACUCCGUGCCAGCAGCCGCGGUAAUACGGAGGAUCCGAGCGUUAUCCGGAUUUAUUGGGUUUAAAGGGUGCGUAGGUGGUUUGAUAAGUCAGCGGUGAAAGUUUGCAGCUUAACUGUAAAAAUGCCGUUGAAACUGUCGGACUUGAGUGUAAAUGAGGUAGGCGGAAUGCGUAGUGUAGCGGUGAAAUGCAUAGAUAUCACGCAGAACUCCGAUUGCGAAGGCAGCUUACUAAGCUACAACUGACACUGAAGCACGAAAGCGUGGGGAUCAAACAGGAUUAGAAACCCUGGUAGUCC
Molecule: ribosomal RNA, 445 nt
Filed under: uncultured bacterium
Lineage: Bacteria
Description: partial 16S ribosomal RNA
Rfam family: Bacterial small subunit ribosomal RNA
Source: RNAcentral